AGGGGAGUAGCUCAAUUGGUAGAGCGGCGGUCUCCAAAACCGUAGGUUGCGGGUUCAAGUCCUGUCUCCCCUGCCA
This 76-nucleotide transfer RNA is filed under the name Bacillota bacterium. RNAcentral describes it as "Firmicutes bacterium (anaerobic digester metagenome) tRNA-Trp". It matches the Rfam family "tRNA". From Rfam's summary of the family: Transfer RNA (tRNA) molecules are approximately 80 nucleotides in length. The record is from RNAcentral. Lineage: Bacteria; Bacillati; Bacillota.